CCCGCUGAACUUAAGCAUAUCAAUAAGCGGAGGAAAAGAAACUAACAAGGAUUCCCCUAGUAACGGCGAGUGAAGCGGGAUGAGCUCAAAUUUAAAAUCUGGCUGGUUUACCAGUCCGAGUUGUAGUUUAAAGAAGCGUUUUCGGUGGCAGGCCGGGUAUAAAUCCUUUGGAACAGGGUAUCAUAGAGGGUGAGAAUCCCGUCUUUGACUCGGCUGAUGUUACUAUGUGAUACGUUUUCAAAGAGUCGAGUUGUUUGGGAAUGCAGCUCAAAAUGGGUGGUAAAUUUCAUCUAAAGCUAAAUAUUGGCGAGGGACCGAUAGCGAACAAGUACCGUGAGGGAAAGAUGAAAAGAACUUUGAAAAGAGAGUUAAACAGUGCGUGAAAUUGUUGAAAGGGAAACGUUUGACACCAGUCAUGUGGGUGGAAAAUCAGUCUUUUGCAUUGGGGAGUUGUAAAGGUUCGGACCGCAAGGCCGGCUUUUGCUUCAUCUUUGGUGUAAGGGAUGCACUUUUUCAUCUACAGGUCAACAUCAGUUUCUUUUGCUGGACAAAACUCCGAGAGAAGGUAGCAGCUUAGGCUGUGUUAUAGCUCUGGAGCGAUACAGUGAAGGGGACUGAGGUUUUCGCAGCGUGUGCUCUCGGGCAAGGCUGGAUGGGUGCUAUGGGAUCGUUCGGGGUACAAUGCCUGGCAUUUUGCUUCGUGUCUUUUCUAUACUCGCUCAACUCAGCUCUUCCACGCUUAGGAUGUUGACUUAAUGGUUUUAAACGACCCGUCUUGAAACACGG
Molecule: ribosomal RNA, 786 nt
Filed under: uncultured fungus
Lineage: Eukaryota; Fungi
Description: eukaryotic LSU rRNA
Rfam family: Eukaryotic large subunit ribosomal RNA
Source: RNAcentral